This is a long non-coding RNA of Mesocricetus auratus (golden hamster), 523 nucleotides long. RefSeq lists it as uncharacterized. The record is from RefSeq and is a predicted model, not a curated record. NCBI's taxonomy places the organism in Eukaryota, Metazoa, Chordata, Mammalia, Rodentia, Cricetidae. The transcript is spliced from 3 exons.
UCCUGAGGUUGGGAGCAUCUUCACACUGGCGGAGGAACUGAGGGAGCACCUUCACACUGACGGAGGAACUGAGGCUCCACUAGGCCCCUGAUUUCCUGGAAACCCAUGGCCAAGGAAGACAGCAGGUCCCAUGGAAGGCAGCCAAUCUCUUGAGGCCAGUGAGAAACCUCUAACGAUGUCUUCUACAAAUGAGGAGCACGAUGGAAGUUCACUAGGAAACAUGCCCCUGAUAGAUAUGAAGCUGUGGCCUCUCACCUCAAUCAAAUGGACUCUGCAGGUGGCCCAAAUGUGACCAGCCAGCACACAGUAGUCUUCAGAGCCAUAGGGAUGACUCACGUAACCAGAGAAGAUGAGCAUUCUACCAAAAAUGGGCCAAUGAGCUUUGUAUUCUUGAGAAUCUGGUUGGCACCAUCAAGAGAGAUUCCUUCUGCUGGGCUGCUGCGCCACAUCUCCCUGCUGCAAGUGAGAGUCAAACAGAAGGAUGGAGUCUGAAGUCAAGGGAGAGGAAAAAAGGGAGAGGAAG